This 588-nucleotide ribosomal RNA is filed under the name Salmonella enterica subsp. enterica serovar Virchow. RNAcentral's name for it is "partial 23S ribosomal RNA". It matches the Rfam family "Bacterial large subunit ribosomal RNA", at positions 60 to 688 of the family's 2925-position model. The record is from RNAcentral. Lineage: Bacteria; Pseudomonadati; Pseudomonadota; Gammaproteobacteria; Enterobacterales; Enterobacteriaceae.
GCUAAUCUGCGAUAAGCGCCGGUAAGGUGAUAUGAACCGUUAUAACCGGCGAUACCCGAAUGGGGAAACCCAGUGUGACUCGUCACACUAUCAUUAACUGAAUCCAUAGGUUAAUGAGGCGAACCGGGGGAACUGAAACAUCUAAGUACCCCGAGGAAAAGAAAUCAACCGAGAUUCCCCCAGUAGCGGCGAGCGAACGGGGAGGAGCCCAGAGCCUGAAUCAGCAUGUGUGUUAGUGGAAGCGUCUGGAAAGGCGCGCGAUACAGGGUGACAGCCCCGUACACAAAAGCGCAUGUGCUGUGAGCUCGAUGAGUAGGGCGGGACACGUGGUAUCCUGUCUGAAUAUGGGGGGACCAUCCUCCAAGGCUAAAUACUCCUGACUGACCGAUAGUGAACCAGUACCGUGAGGGAAAGGCGAAAAGAACCCCGGCGAGGGGAGUGAAAAAGAACCUGAAACCGUGUACGUACAAGCAGUGGGAGCACAGGUUUACCUGUGUGACUGCGUACCUUUUGUAUAAUGGGUCAGCGACUUAUAUUCUGUAGCAAGGUUAACCGUAUAGGGGAGCCGGAGGGAAACCGAGUCUUAAC